UGUGACUCUGUCCCUGGGAGGCAGGCAAGAGGCCACAACCUGCUCGUAUCGUUAUCUCAUGCUGCGUCACAGGCUACCCCCAGCUGAGAGGCUUGCAGCAAAAGGAACAUUGACUGCCUCCGACGGACCCUGUGGUCGGGACUCAGGAGGGGCUCAGCCGGGCGGCGCUGGCUCAGGGCCCCGCAGGAGGUUGCAGCCAGGAGUCAGCAAGGGCUGCAUCUGCCGCAGGAUCAACCGGGGCGGAGGAGCCACUUCCAAGGCGGCUCACCCGCGUGCCUGGCGGCUGGGCCGGGCUGCUGGGGGGAGGCUCAGCUCCUCACCGAGUGGCUCCUCCAGAGUACUGGCUUCCCCGGCGGGUGACCCAAGGAGAGCAAGGCAGAGCCGCAGCGUCUGUGUGAUGGAGCCUGGAAGUCGUUUCUGCCGUAUCUCGUGGUCCCAGCCUCUUUAUUUCACUCCUGUGGGCAGAAGGCAAAGAGAAUCCAUGGCUAGCAGUGGGCACGGGAAGCAGAUUUUUCUGGUGCUUCCAGAAGCAGAGCAAGCCGGCUAGUCCCUCUCUGCAGUGAGACUGAGCUGAGCCAGAGCAGAGAGGUCCUUCACCGCACAGGCCCGGUGACGUCCGCCCCAGCCAGCAGCGGUGUCCCACCCCCGCCGGGAGGUGCGUGUGCCAGCUUUCUCAGCCCUGGACAUGCGGCUCCGCACAGGCUCCUUGGGACCCUUGGAAGAAACCUGAGGGUUCGCUUGCAGCAGGGCAGCCUGCCGGCAGGAGGACCAAGGAUUGGACGAGCCAGAAAGAGCGAGGCCUCUAUCGUAAGCCCAAUGAGACGUCAGCGGGAGGGAGGACGGGGGAAAGGGUGACAGGCACAGGUGUGUGGUGACAGAUGGUAAUUAGUCUGUGGGUGGUGGACACGAUGUAAUCUACACAGAAAUCGAAAUAUAACAAUGUACACCUGAGGUUUAUAUAACGUUACAAACCAAUGUUACCGCAAAAAAUCCCCCCAAACAGUAAGAUGAAUCUUCUUUUCUAGUCACGUUUGUAUCAGAUUGAAGUCUCUACAUAAAGCCGCACCAAAACAAUGUGGCAUUUAGAAAUACUUGGCUAACUUUUUAAUUAAUUUAAAAAAUUAAAUUAACUGAUUAAAUUAAAUUAAAUUAACUGGUUCUGUUGCGCAGCCAUCACCACCAUCGGUCUCUAGAACUCUUUCAUCUUGUAAAACUGAAACUCUGUUUCCAUUAAACACUAACUCCCUGCCCACCCCGGCCCCUGGCACCCACCCUUCUACUUUCUGUCUCUAUGAACUCACGACUGGAAGUACCUCAUAUAAGUGGAAUCCUGCAGUAUUUGUCCUUUUGUGACUGGCUCAUUUAGCUCAGCAUAAUGUCCUCAAGUUUCAUCCGUGUUGGAGCGUGUGUCAGAAUUUCAUUCCUUUUCAAGGCUGAAUAAUACUCCACUGUGUGGACAUGGCACAUUUUGUUAUCCAUUCAUCCGUCAAGAGACACAGGUUGCUUUCACCUUUUGGCUGUAGUGAAUAAUGCUGCUAUGAACAUGGGUGUACAGACAUCUGUUCAUGUCCCUGCUUUCAAUUCUUCUGGGUAUGUAUCUAAGAGUGGAAUUGCUGGAUCAUAUGGUAAUUCUAUUUUUAAUUUUUGGAGGAACCGCCAUACAAUACACAGUUAAAUUUAAUGUCGAUUCAACAUUUAUUGAGCAUCUGUUAUGUUACCGGAUGAGACAGUGGGGCCUCCGAGGACCUCACAAUGUAGAGGAAACUGUAGAUGUUUGGGGAACGAAGGCAUAUGAAAACUAGUCACCCUCUCUCCUACAACUGUGAUAGACGCAGGGCCACACAGGGCCCCCCGGCCAGGCUCGGCACAUGGCCUCACGUGGAGAUGAGCAGCCGACCACAGGAAGCGAUUGGAAAAGGGAUCCCUUCGUUAACAUGGGUCUGUGCCUGCUUCCCUCUGGGCCCCAGCUGGAUUCCGUCUUGGCCUUUUAGGGGGAGAAGAGGGUGACACCUGUGAAGGGACAGCCCUCCCCAGCCCAUCUGCCCAUGCCAGCUGCGUGGGAGAGCGGAGAGAAGCGAUGCUUUGAAAUACAAUGCCCAAGACAGACUCAGAAAGGAGCUGACGCUGCCAUGCCCAACCACACCAGACCGUUCCUCCAUGGGCCAGACGUGUGCGCAGCCUUGCGUGACACUGGGUGACAGUGUGCCGUUGACAAGCCCUAAGCCGUGUCCGGCUUUGUCCUGACUGCUCCACACGCCUUAGCUUAUCUGCGUUGGGAUGCAGACGGAAGGAACGGUGUUGAAAGCUUGCCUGAAUGGGGCAACAAAGUUUCCUGCCCUCCACGUCCAGGAGAGCAGUUUACUAGACUCCCGGCCAAGGCCAGAGGGUGAAAACCCCAUGCAAAGAGCGGUUCCUAAAAUGAGCCAGACAGAGGCCAGGAUCAGGUGUUCCCUGGCCCUCGGAGACUCGAGAGGGACAGGUCGUGCCAGCUCUCAAGUGACCUUAAAGAAGGGAAGAUGGACCGCUUAAGCUAACUCCUGGUAAUUCAGACUCCAGACCACCAGGCUCCAAUAACCAGAACCCCUGCAAGCUUGUGCCCCCCUGGCUGAUGGGGACUCACCACGACCAGCCUCAGGCCCCAUUAAAAAUUCUAGACGUGCCCUCUGUGUCAUCGAGGAAAAAUAAAAAAUAACCUCCGGCUUGGUUUUAGUGCUUUCAAUUCUAUUAUAUCUUAACACCCUGAAUUUUGAUGACCUAUAAUGUGGCUUGUAAGCUGAGCCUCCACUCAGCCAAACAUGCGAUCACGCAUUGCCCCAUCUCCUGAAUCUUAGGAAUGAGGGGGCAGCACCGGGGCGGAGCCCACAGGGUUAGGAGGACUGCAGCCACAAGGAAAGUGAGCCGCAGCCAAGUUCGGGAGCCGGCCAUGCGUAUCUUCUUGUCUUCUUUCGUGGAUGGCGUCAUUUGCAGCUGAGACACAGAUCUGAGCCUGGCUGAGUGCUGGCUCGUUUGCCUGUUUCCCGCCCGGAAGGGGAGAAGCGGUGACGACGUCUUAACCAGCUGCCGCUUUGAGGCCCAGGCAGUAACUUCCCCGCCAGUUACAGCUCAGCGGCCCCGUGAGGGGAGGGAGGACUCAUCCUCCAGCCUGGGAGUGCCCUGACCCAGCCCACGACAAGUGACUCAUUUACACACCUCCCAGAAGCAGCAAACAGCCUGGCCUCUCCCAUGCUUGGGCUGAGUGCUUAUGAUACUGUCAGCCCUUUGUGGCCAAAAUUCCCUUUUCCCCAAGUAUAUCCAACGGGAUGACUCACUCUCCGUGACCCAAGUUAACCCAACACACGCAGACACAGGCACAGGGUGAUUCAAUCCUCCCACUCUGGAGGAGGGUGUCGGGGAGUAUAAGAAAGAGGGGUGGGGGCAGGUGGGGGAGUGGUCUGAUUCCCACUGUCACAGCCACGAGAAGAAACUAAGUCCCAGGGGCUGGGGGCAGAGGUGGGCAUUGCAGUGCUGUGUCACUGUCACCCGCAGAGCUCAGACUUCCCAGGGAGGAUCCUGAGUCAACAUCUGCUGUGACCGGACAGUGGCUUUGAGGUUGUCCACCCAUCCCACAGCCACAAACGCUUUCACUGCAUACAGCCCUCUGCUCAAUGCUGUGGAGGACACAGUGUGCUUGGGAACGGGUCCUCCCUCAGCAAGCCCACAGUAGCAAGGGAGAUAAAACUACAAUAAAGGUGGGAAAGGACCAUUUUCCAAGGAGAGGUGCCUACUGAAUGUAACAGACACUGUGGUUAACCUUCCCUUCUUACUGAUACAACCCUGAUCUUAGGCAGGGAUGGAGUAGAGAUCUCUAGAUUUCAAAGAAGAUAAUCCCUUUCUUGGGGUGGGCAUGUGACCCAGUUCUGCAUGAUAGAAAUAUGCCAGAAGGCUUCUCGGAAAGAUACUGUGGCCAUCCUUAUUGAGACCACACAUCCUGUGGCCUUGUGGUUUUGAAGGUGGUAUGAUGGCUAGAGCCACAGCAGCCAUCUUGUAACCAAGAGGCAACAAUCUUUUUUUUUUAAGUUUGCUUUUACUUAUUUAUUUAUUUUUUGAGGUAACAUUGGUUUGUAACAUUAUAUAAAUUUCAGGUGCACAUCAUUAUAUUUCGAUUUCUGUGUAGACUACAUCAUGUUCACCACCCAAAGACUAAUCACCAUCCAUCACUGUACACAUGUGCCCUAUUGCCCCUUUCACCUUCCUCUCUGCCCCCUACCCGUCUGGUAACCACCAAUCUAAUCUCUAUAUCUAUAUGCUUGUUUGUUCUUGUUGUUUUUAUCUUCUACUUAUGAGUGAGAUCACACGGUAUUUGACUUUCUCCAUCUGACUUAAUUCGCUUAACAUAAUACCCUCAAGAUCCAUCCAUGUUGUCACAAAUGGCAAUAUUUCAUCUUUUUUUAUAGCUCAGUAGUAUUCCAUUGUGUAUAUAUACCACAUCUUUAUCCAUUCAUCUGCUGAUGGGCACUUAGGUUGUUUCCAAGCCUUGGCUAUUGUGAAUAAUGCUGUGACGAACAUAGGGGUGCAUGUAUCUUCACACAUUCAUGUUUUUGUGUUCUUAGAAUAAAUACCCAGCAGCAGAAUACCUGGAUCAUAUGGUUGUUUCUAUACACUAACAAUGAAAUAACAGAAAGAGAAAUUAAGAAUAUAAUCCCAUUUACAAUUGCAACAAAAAGCAUAAAAUACCUAGGAAUAAAUUUAACCAAAGAGGUGAAAGAUAUGUACACUGAAAACUAUAAAACAUUGUUGAAAGAAAUCAAAGACACAAAGAAAUGGAAAGAUAGUCUGUACUCUUGGAUUAGAAGAAUUAGCAUAGUUAAAAUGUCCAUAUUACCUAAAGCAAUCGACAGAUUCAGUGCAAUCCCUACCAAAGACCCAGUUUUCACAGAAAUAGAUCAAAGAAUCCUAAAAUUUAUAUAGAACAACAAAAGACCCCAAAUAGCCAGAGAAAUCCUGAGAAAAAAGAGCAAAGCUGGAGGUAUCACACUCCCUGAUUUCAAAAUAUACUACAAAGCCAUAGUAACCAAAACAGCAUGGUACUGGCACAAAAACAGACACACAGAUCAAUGGGACAGAAUCGAGAGCCCAGAAGUAAACCCAGAAUGGACAGCUAAUUUUCGACAAGGGAUCCAAGAACAUACGAUGGAGAAAGGAAAGUCUCUUCAUUAAAUAGUGCUGAGGGGCCUGCCCCCUGGCCGAGUGGUUAAGUUCGUGCACUCCACUUCAGUGGCUCAGGGUUUCACUGGUUUGGAUCCUGGGCACGGAUGUGGCACCGCUCAUAAAGCCAUGCUGAGGUGGCAUCCCACAUGCCGCAACUGGAAGGACCCACAACUAAAAUAUACAACUAUGUACCAGGGGGCUUUGGGAAGAAAAAGGAAAAAUAAAAUCUUUAGGGAAAAAAAUGUUUCUGAGAAAACUGGACAACCACAUGCAAAAGAAUGAAAGUAGACCAUUAUCUUACGCCAUGCACAAAAAGUGACUCAAAAUGGAUUAAAGACUUGAAUGUAAGACCUGAAACCAUAAAACUGCUAGAAGGAAACAGAGGCAGUAUGCUCUUUGACACUGGUCUUAGAAGCAUGUUUUCGAAUAGCAUGUCUCACCAGGCAAGGGAAACAAAAGAAAAAAUAAACAAAUGAGACUACAUCAAACUAAAAAGCUUCUGCACAGCAAAGGAAACCAUCAACAAAAUGAACAGACAACCUGACAAUUGGGAGAAGAUAUUUGCAAAGCAUAUAUCUAAUAAGGGGUUAACAUCCACAAUAUAUAAAGAACUCAUACAUCUCAACAACAACAAAACAACAACCCAAUUAAAAAACGGGCAAAAGAUCAGAACAGACAUUUCUCCAAAGAAGAUGUAGAGGUGGCCAAUACGCACAUGGAAAGUUGUUCAACAUUAUUAAUUAUUAGGGAAAUGUAAAUUAAAACUACAGUGAGAUAUCACCUCCCACUGGUCAGAAUGGCUGUAUUAAGAAGACAAGAAAUAGCAAGUGUUGGAGAGGGUGUGGAGAGAAGGGAACCCUCGUACACUGCUGGUGGGAAGGCAAACUGGUGCAGCCACUAUGGAAAACAGUAUGGAGAUUCCCCAAAAGAUUGAGAAGAAGCAACCAUUUUAAAGACCAAUAGGCAACACAAUGAGGAUGAUGGAGGAGACGGAAGAAAUUUGCCUGGGUCUUCAGUGACUUGAUUGAGUAGCUGAAUCAAUGCCUUGUAGCUCCAAUCUCCCAAUUUCUCACUGUGUGGGAAACACACGCUCUGGAUAUCCUAAGGCUAUUUUGGAUGGAUUUCCUGUUACUCCCAGCCAAAAGCAUUCCCGAUUGUUACAUUGAGACACUGGGGGAGUAUGGAAAAAAGAGAAACUAAUUUUCAGUUGAAUGGACUAGGAAACAAAGAUUAAGAGGCACUCAUUUAGGCCUUAACCAUGUGAUUUGUAUGUAGGAGGCUGGAGAAAAGGCAUUCUGAAGGAAAAGGCCAUCUAUGCAAUGACAAUAAUAGUAAUAUCAUUUAUUUAGUAAUUACUAUGGUCCAGGCAGUGUUCUAAGGACUCCACAUAUACAUUAUCUCGUUGAAUCCAGCAGUAAACCAACGAAAGAGAGAUUAACAUCAAGUGCAUUUUGCAGAGGAAAUAGCUUCAGAGAAGGUAGGUAACCUUCCCCCUAAGUGGCAGAGGUGAGAUUCAACUCCAGGCUGUCUGACCCCAGAGCCUUUCUUCUUAGCAUGCACACAUUUAUCUUAAUCUGAGGGUAUUUCCUAGAUAAAGUGAUAUGUAACCCAAAGUUGGAGGAUGAACAGGUGUUGGACAGGCAAAAAGUUGGGGAAGAGAAGAGUAUUUGUGGGCAGAGGUGGCCUGGGGCGGGAGGUAGGGCACCCCCGGAGGCGAUGCGAGCACGUGGUUAUUCACUGCUGCCCUGUUUGCAAGAGUAGAGGAGCCAGGGGAUGGAACCCACAUGUCCGUCAGAGGAGAGUGGUCAAGUGACUGCUGUGCAGCUGUGUUAGAGAAUGAGACAUCACGCACUGGUCAGGAAGGCUCUGCAGGGCGUGCGAGGUGAGAGGCAAGGCACGCAGUAGCGUGCUAUUGUGCUACUUUUCCUGUCAAGAGGCAGACAGGGAACAGGGGUUUGUAAUCACUUGUGUAGGCAUAACAACUCUGGGAGGAGAAACAAGACACGGAGACAUGAUCACCUACACGCAUGUGGCACUGCAUCUUUAAACCACAUGAAUGUUUACCUCUCCUGGAGAAAAAUAAGAGAGGUUCAAGAAAGUACAGGCAGUUGGGGGGCCUGCUGCGAAGAGGGUCAGUGGUUCACCGGGACAGGCAUAGAUGGGGCAGGUGGAGGGAGAGGCAGACGGGUCCCAGGAGCCUUGCGGAAGAGGCCAGGUGCUGAGACAAGAAUCCGGCCUUUUGCUACGGGUGCUGGGAAACUGGAAUGCUUUUUUUAAAAAAAAUUUUUUUUAAGGAAAAUUUCAAACAUGCACAAAAAUGAACAGAGGAGUAUGAUGGAUCUCCCUGUGCCCUUCACUGAGCCCCAGCAGUCACCCUGCCCCCCGAAAAAGGGAUCAUUGCAAAGCAGAUUCCAGACAUCACACAAAUCCCUACUUCCUCUGCAGUGUGUGUCGCUAAGAGCUCUUCUUUAACAUGAGCACAAACCACAAUCACAUCUAAAGCACUCCCAGGAACUCCUAAAUAUCGUCAAAUAUCCAGCCAUAUGUAAGUUUCUGCGAUUGCCUCAUAAAGGAAUGUUCUCCGGGUGGAUUGUUCAGUUCAGGCCAAUUCAGGAUCCCGCCGGGCCGGCACGUGGCACUUGGUCAGCGGCCUCUGUGGUCUUUCGGGUCCUCCUCCCUCUGUCUUCCCUUACUCUUUGCUGGCUGAAGAAGCCAGGCGAGGUGGCCUGCCUCUCGCCAGGCGCACACCCAGAGUGGUGACAUGCUUCCCUGUCCCUGUGCUCUCUGUGAACGGGAGCUCCAGAGCGUGACUGGAUCUGGGCUCGCUUUUUCUCCUGUUUUCCUCCUUGCAUUACUGCUUCAGAGACGGUGCUGGGCACUACCUGGAGGUGUGUGAGGCCUGGCUGGCUCUCCUCCCACAGUGCUGACAUCCGUCCAGGCUUUCCCAUGUUGCCAGCACCAAAGCUCGAGGGAGAGGAGAGCCAGGAGCGGGUGUGGGUUUUGGAAGGUCCCCUGUGGCUGCAGUAUGGAGAUCUAUGCUUUGACUCCAUCCUCGGGAUUUUGGGGAGGUAAUGGGGGAGACCCUUCUAGGUCUGGCCUGAGGUGGUGGGCUGGAGGGAAGAGGAAAUCUUUGCAAUAUUAAAGAGAUGGAGUUGACGUCAUUUGGCCAGUGACGGGCUGAGCAGCUGAGGGAGGACUGUGGCUGGAGCAGCAGGGUGCCCCGCCAGCCCUUCUUUGAGGCCAUUGAGGUGGAAAAGGUGAAGAGAAUGAAGGUUGAGAGGCAGAUGGUGACUUGCGCUUUGGACACUUGGAAUUUGAGAACCUGAGAUACGAUCAAGAGGGACGUUUAGUGGCAGCUGGCUAGCCAGAGCCGACCUCAGAAGAGAGGCUGGGGACGGUGAGGCAGACCCAGGAGGCAGCAGAGCUAGCUCGCGACCGACGCCCCGGGAAGGCGGGAGAUCUCAGCGGGACCACAGAAGCCAAAAGAGGAGAGCUCGCGUUCAUGAGGCACCCUGAUGAGCAGGGGCCCUCGAUGGAGCCACGUGUUGGGGAUCCGCGGCACAUGGGCUGGUCGUGGUCUUGGGGAGGGGGCGUAACCGCGAGGGGCAGAGCAGCCCCUGGAGCAGGGAGGGGAAAGGGAAGCGAAGGUGUCUGCUUCCUAGACUGCACUCGGAUAGAGCCCUUCCACGCGGACGGGUCCGACCCCCAGGAGAGCUGCAGGACAGCCUGCAGGGGCACGGGGCCCACCCCACAGCCCGCCGAAGCCGCUCCCGGGUCAACACCCGCAGACACUCGUUGGGACCUGCGCCAGGGGCGAAGAAGGGUCCCGGCAGCCCCGCGCUGGCAAGCACCCGGCUCCGCCGCGACGGCAGCAGGUGUGCUGCCCACACUCUGCGAGGUCGCGAGGGGACACGCUCGGAGGGGGCGCGGAUGCGCUCUGCGAGGUGGUGCGCAGACACGCUCCAAGGGGGCCGAUGCGCUCUGUGGAGGCCCGUGGGGGACGCCGCAGUACCCAGUUCCCUCCGCCCUGUGCCCAGCCUGCAGGAUGCAAGACGCUGGAACGCUCCACUUACAGAAGUUCAAGGGCAGGCGAACCAAUGUCCCGCGUCAGAGGUCAGACAGUGAUGACUCUGGGAGGAGGUCGGGGUUCCUAGGGGACCAGUUCUGAUCCUUCGUGACCUGGGGCGGGCGGCACAGGAUUUUCCGCGUGAGCAGUGCGCUGCUCUGCGCACGUGCUGGACUCCACUGAAGCUUUCUAAAAAAACAGCCACCUCGAGAGGCAGCCCGACGGCGAGAUUAGCCCACGCCCUGCCAGGCCUCUCCUGCUCUGCCCCCCUCAUCCUCGUCACCCCCACCCCUUCUGCCUGGGACACCUCCCGCAGCCCCUGCUGCGUCAUUUUUUAAAAAGACAUUAAAGAAAGCCACGCGGCAUGUCCAGCUCCCUCUCUGAAGGCUCCCCAGCUGGUUGACUUCUCUUAAAGAGCAGUAGGGAGAGAAGAUGCUCAGAGAUGGCGGGAGGCCCAAGGGGCUAAGUGCCAUGGAAGAAAGCAGCACAUUCCAAGCUCUGCCCCUGGGUAGGAGGCUGGGCCACUGUCUCAGGGCUUCCCUCAGCCCUCCAUCCGCUGGGAGGGACAGGGGCUCAGACCGUGGCUCUGGAGCACGCGCCCAGCGCUCACCCUUGUCUCUUGCAGCCACCCCAGGCUCGGAAUCCUGGGCGCCGUGGAGGAUCCCUGUCAUGGAGGGGUGCAUGGCGAAUGGGACUCCGUCCUGUCCUUCCCGCCUGGGCUUGUUCCCACUGCCAGGGGUUCCAAAGAGUUGCCCAUGAUGUGGGCUUGGUGGCACUCCCAAUUAAGGACAGCGUGUCUUCACCACACAUGGCUGUGCACACGUGUCAUCACAUGAGGCCCUCAGGGAGGGGCUGCCCGACCUUUACUCUGAGACUGUGGCCUACAGUAGUUUUUGUGGGGCAGGGGGGCUAAAAAUAGCCUUUAUUCCCCUAUACUGAUGGCCAAGAUAGCUGCUAAUUUGAUUUUCCUUUUAAUACUCUUAAUUUAGGACGCAAAAAGUUGGCAGACUUAGGCAGUCCCCAAAAUGUUUUUUUUAAAUUAAUUUGUUUUUAUGAUCCAAGAACCCCCAAGACUGGGCACCACCCGGCACCACAGAGGGCUUUAACCCCGUCUCCCCUCGACCCUUAGAAGGAAACUGUCAAGUGGGAGGGCAGGCAUCUUUCUCUCCCCCUUGCAAACGAAAAACAGCCUUUGCUGAGCUGAAUAAUCCACCUAAAGUCUCCGGGCCCCCGCACGCCCGCCUCCCGGCUGCGCCGCCUCCCAAGUGUCUGCUGCACAGAAAAGUGGGAAAUUACCAUUUAAUCAAAAUCUUCAAGGUCUGGGAACUUCUAGAUCAGUGACAACGCCACCCCUGAGGGGCCUUAUACCUAAUCUUCCAUUACUGCUAAAGCUGCUGAGCGCCACCCCCCCACCCUCCUAACCAGGACGCGGGAAGGGCAGAGGCAGCCGCCCGGGCCCUGGAGACAACACCCUGUCUUCCAGCUCGUGCUGGUCCAUUUGGAGCUGUGUCAAACACUCUGUCUUGCUUUGUAGUUCCUGGGACAAAAUGAAAAUCUUGUUCAAUCUGAGGUUUGCAAAUUAGCGGGCACUGUUCCAGAUCAUUCAGUUCCGUCUAAACCUCUGGAACAUGGAAGCCAGUAACCCCACAGGUGCCCAGGGACAGCUGUGUCUCAAGGCAGUCGUCUUUCAUUGGCAGAGGUACAGCCUUCUCUGCCACUUUCUGAUUUUUCACAGGCACUGAGUCAGAGCUGAGGAGCAAUCCAUCCCUGUUUCUAAGGCCAUCUGUGAGCUGGGUGGCAGUGGAGAGGAGCAGGCACGGAAGCUGAGAUGGCACUCCUACUGGGAUGCUCCCCGGGCAGACCAAUGGAUGUGCGUUGUCCAUCCCUCCUUAGGACAAGCCCAGAAGCUGUAACAGAUGGCUGCUGCGUUCUUCCUUUUGGAGGUGUCAGGGGUGGAAAGCUCUUGGAUUUCUCUGGCAGGUUACUGUCAGGGCGGGGGACCAGUGCAUUAGGCAGUAGGUGAUCCCUUUUGAGAACUUAAUCCAUAACUGCUCCCUUCUUUGAUGCCACUGGCAGGGCAUAAACUCAGAGCAGGAGAGAGGAAAACAGAGCCCAUUCUGUGAGAAGCCACCUGGUUGGCAAGGCGGGAGUGGAAGGAGAGAAAAGAGAUGGUUAGGACUUGAUCCCCCUGUAAUUUCCCAGUGCCGAUGCUGGGAACUAUGGUGCUCUGGGAAGACCAGGGGUAUACAGAGUGUGGAGGGUGGCUGAGGAGGAGGAGUUGUCCCUUAUAGGGGAAUGAGGGAAGGCUUCCGGGAGGAGGUGUCCUAGUGGCCCCAUUUGGGAGGGUAGGAGGGUUUCUGCAGGAGGCAUUCCAGACAGAAGGAAGAGCAGCUGACUUCUACGUGGGAAAGACAGUGGGUGAGAAUCAGGAAGAAAUGAUUUUGAGAGACAUGACUGGUGAGUAAGCACAUUGGUCAGGGAGAUGCGAAGGAAGACCAGAGGGAGGCCCCUUCUGACACCCUCUAAUCAGCAGAAGAUAAGAAAUCUGACAAUACCGCGGCUGGGGAGAGGUGUGGAACAACAGGAACGCUCACCCACAGUCGACGGGUGUGCAAAUUGUUGCAGGCACGCUGGAGAACAAUGCUGCCUUGUCCAGUCGGGGGGACGAGCCCGUUCCCUGUAACCCAGCAGUUCCGCUCCCAGGCACACAUGCGAGCUUUGAGCCCCAGGCACAAGAUGCCCUCAGCAGCCCCGCUCACAGCAGCAAAGACUGGAAAGGGUACAGCUGCUCACUGGCAGGUGGAGGGCCACAGAAACCGAGGUUUAGUCACGCAUGGAACCAGAAGUAGCGGUGAAAACGAGCCAGGACUUCUGUCCCCAAACAGAUCCUGGCCCGACUUUCAUUGGCAGAAAUGGUCCUGUGGGCCCAACCCUCAGUCAAUCAUUUAGGCAGGGGGAUAGAAUGCAUAAUUGCUCAAGCCAGGCAGGGCUCCCUUCUGAGGUUCCACCUAAACCGAAACUGGGCUGACAGUGGGGGAGGAGUGCGUCCCCAAAGGAAAUGGGGGUACCACAGAGAGCAUUGUUGGUGCCCUUGACACCCCACAUCACUGUUGAUGUGUCCUCCUGCCCCUAGCCCAGCUGCCGGGAGCUCUGGGGCUCCCACCUGGGCUCCGGGACCCCUUCCCGCUCUGCCCUGGGGGUUUGGGUCCUGGUGCCCCUGCCCACGACAGCACAGGGCCAGCGAGCGACUGGUGAGGGAAGAGGAUCGCAGGACGACUGGGAGGUGUGACCUUCCCCUAAAAUCUCACCCUUAGUUUCCUCCCCUUCCUUCACUCCCUCCCCAGGCUUCUCUUAGCAGCCUUCAAAUCUUUGACUCACAUCCAUUUCUGGAGGAGUCUGACCUAAGACAUUUCACCAAGCGAGAAGCGAACAGAGCCUGAGCUCCAAACACAACAGACAGCAAGAGGAACAGCAGAGGGAAGCGGGUUCGCAAACCUGGAUGAGCCGCAAACCUCUCUGGACUUCGUUCAGCUUCCUCAUUUAAAAACAAAAGUUUACAGAAGAAACAACUAUGAGUGGCCAGGAAACAUGUGGAUGCACGCACGGCACCGUGAAUAGUCAAAGAAACAAAAGCAUUUUCCCUCUGUCAGGUGGCAGGGAUGGGGAGAAUGUGGGCCGGGUGCCGGGAGGGCCUCUCCUGCUUUAUUGAUGGAAGCAUAAAUUGAUACAAUCUUUUGGGAGGGUAGUCGGGCAGUAUCUAUAAAAAUAUUAGGUGGGAAAACCUUUGACCCAGCAAUUCCACUUCUGUGAAUUUAUCCUGCAGCAAUACAUGCACAUGAAUGCAAAGAAAUGUAUACAGAUAUGUAAAUUCAGACUGUGACAGCGACAACUUAUAAACAACCUGAAUGUCCUUCAGUUGGGGACUGGUUAAAAAUGAGGGCGCAUUCCUACAGGGACAUACCAGACAGCCAUCAGGAGGAACGUGCUCUGCCUCUGGGUUCUGAUGAAAAAACCUGCCCAGCAUCUAGGACUCGGCGAACAAAGCAAAUCGCAAAGCAGGAUGUACAGUGAAAUCCCCUGUUUAUAAGAAGUAUUUCUAAAUAUAAAUAUUAUAAAUUUGCAAAUGCUUAGAACACAGUCUGGAAGAAUGCAAUUGGACUGGCUCACCUGUGGUUCCUCCUGGGAGUGGGGGUGGGGAUUUUCUCGGCAGUUUUUGGAUUCUUUUUAGUGUUUGUUUUUAAGAAAAUGGGUCACUUUCCUCAUUUUUUCUAACUUGGAAAUUUUAAACGGGAGUAAUUAAAUGCCUGUUGACCAGGCCCUCUGCCCUGAGCUUCACCACAGACUAUGCUGUCUCGUCCUCACGGCAGCCCUGUGAAUGGGAAUUGCUGCCGUCCCCCACAUUACAGAUGAGGAGACACAUCCAGAGGGCCACGGAGGUCACAAGAUGCAGAGCCGAGACCCUAACCCAGACGCAGGUCUGGACCCUUAACCACGAUGCCGCCUUAGCUCACAAGAGUAACAUGAGGGGUCAUCCAACUUCAUUCCGUAGCAGCAGAAGCCCUGUGUUCAAAGAAAAUGGAAUGGAAGUCCAAUUUAUAAACCGGAUAAGAAGGGGGUCAUUCUGGUAGAAGAGAAGCCGCGCUACUCUCUCUGCCCCUCCCUUCAUCACACCCCCACCAAGGGCCACAGGGUUCCCAGGAGCCUGGUUUGAAAAUAUGAAGCCAGGCACCUUUGAGGGCCCUGCUCUUUGUUUGACACGCCAGGAUUCUAAUAAUGCCGCUUCCAUUGAAAGGGACUGAAAGGAAAGAAGGCAGAACUGUGUUACCAGGUCAUUCAAAACCAAGUGAGGAGUCAUCACGCUUUAAAUAAAAAGCUAAGUGUCGAAAGUCAAGCGUCACCUCCUGAUUGAGCCUCAGCAGGUUGAUGGAACCACUGUCCCCCAUAGAACGCCUGGGUGCAGAAGACACUCCGGCGUGGUGAAUGCUGUUUUGAUAAAAAACCUGGACCCUCAACAUCACCAGCCUGGAACAGCAGCUCCCCUCACCUACGCUUUCUUCCGUGUUUGUCUCUCCCCAUUAGAACAGGCAGCAAUUUCUGCCCAUUCUGCUCACUGUCAGGCCAGCUCAUAGCAGAUGCUCAAUUAAUGCUUGAUGAAUGAAUGAAUGAAUGAACGAACAAACGAACACGGGUUUGACUGACCGACCUCUAUGCAAGCAGGCACCAACUAACAGUUCUUAAGCCGCAGUGGCUUUGAGAUUUAAGCUGCAAAACAAGAUAAAUAAUCGCACUGGGAUUUUAGCUCAUCAAAUAAGAUAAAUACCCGAGUCCAUACUGACGUAAAUAAAUGAGUGUGUAAAUAAACGGGGACGAGUUCCACUUAAUGAAUGGGGAAGGAGUGAGGGAGACAGCAGGUCACCGUGAGAACGCCACGUGGCUGGAUCCACUCACGGAUGCUAAAAUCAGUGGGAGGACGUGUAAGGAGGAGCUGGAUUUGCACAGUCGCAAAGUAUUUCCCUCAAAAUAUUAAUUUGUCAAUUACAAAGGGAAAAAUGAUAACUUUACAAUAAAGAAACCCGGCAGACACCUGUUUAACUAAGUGGUCAAGGUCAACAUCCCCCGCAGCGGACACACUGAGAUCACGGAUCUCUUGAUAUGAUGCACCAAGGACUCAUCAGCAUUUCUGUGGCGAUUCUUCCCAAAAUGCAUAACCUCAGUAAAAUCAGAAGAAAACAUCAGACAGACCCAGAUAGAGCAAGAUUUCACAAAAUAUCUGACCAGUACUCUUCAAAAAUGUCAAGAUCAAAAAAAAGAAAGAUGAGGAAAGACCGAGGAACCAUUACAGAUUGAGAGAGACCAAGGAGACGUGGCAGCUACAGGCAAUGUCAGAUCUGGAACGGAAAAAGAACACUGGCUGGGGGUCAGCGAACUACGGUCUGCGGGCCAAGUUUGGCCCUCUGCCUGCUCUUGUAAAUCCACUUUUUUUGGUACACAGCCGAGCCUGUCCAUCUAUGUGUCGUCCAUGGCUGCUUCGGGGCUACGACAGAAGAGCUGAGUGAUUGCAACAAAGACCACAUGGCUCACAAAGCCGGAAAUAUUUACUAUCUAGUCCUUUACAGAAAGAGUUUGCUGACUCCUGUGUUAGUGGAGAAACUGGUGAAAUCUGAAAAAGCCUGUAGUUUAGUUAAUAGUAUUUUAACAAUGUUGAUUUCUUUUUUUUAAUUCAGCUUUUUUGUUUUAAAGAUUGGCACCUGAGCUAACAACUGUAGCCAUCCUUUUUUUUUUUUUUCUGCUUUAUCUCCCCAAAUCCCCCCGGUAUGUAGUUGUGUACUUUUAGUCAUGAGUCCUUCUAGUUGUGGCAUGUGGGAUGCCGCCUCAGCGUGGCCUGAUGAACGGUGCCAUGUCCACGCCCAGGAUCGGAACCAGCAAAACCCUGGGCUGCCACAGCGGAGCGCGCGAACUCAACCACUCGGCCCCUGGGCCGGCCCCAGCAAUGCUGAUCUCUUAGUUUUGAGAAUUAUCCCAUCGUUCUACAAGAUGUAAUCGUUAGGCAAAACUGGGUGAAGGGAAUAUGCAAACUCUCUGUACUAUCUUUGCAACUCUUCUGUAAAUCUAAAAUUAUUUCAAAAAUUAAAAAAAUUUUAAUUAA
RNAcentral lists this long non-coding RNA (15899 nucleotides) under Equus asinus (donkey). Its description in RNAcentral is "lncRNA (ENSEASG00005031501.1)". The record is from RNAcentral. Lineage: Eukaryota; Metazoa; Chordata; Mammalia; Perissodactyla; Equidae.